RNAcentral lists this ribosomal RNA (253 nucleotides) under uncultured Coprococcus sp. Its description in RNAcentral is "partial 16S ribosomal RNA". It matches the Rfam family "Bacterial small subunit ribosomal RNA", at positions 524 to 776 of the family's 1533-position model. Lineage: Bacteria; Bacillati; Bacillota; Clostridia; Lachnospirales; Lachnospiraceae. The record is from RNAcentral.
UACGGAGGAUCCAAGCGUUAUCCGGAUUUAUUGGGUUUAAAGGGUGCGUAGGCGGCGAUGCAAGUCAGAAGUGAAAGCCCGGGGCUCAACUCCGGGACUGCUUUUGAAACUGUGUUGCUAGAUUGCGGGAGAGGCAAGUGGAAUUCCUAGUGUAGCGGUGAAAUGCGUAGAUAUUAGGAGGAACACCAGUGGCGAAGGCGGCUUGCUGGACCGUGAAUGACGCUGAGGCUCGAAAGCGUGGGGAGCAAACAGG